Solanum dulcamara is the source of this 516-nucleotide long non-coding RNA. RefSeq lists it as uncharacterized. The record is from RefSeq and is a predicted model, not a curated record. The transcript has 5 exons. Lineage: Eukaryota; Viridiplantae; Streptophyta; Magnoliopsida; Solanales; Solanaceae.
GACUGCAAGUGUUUGUACCUUUUGAUUGAUGAUUGUAGACAAGAUGUUGGUACAACAGUCAUUGUUCAGGAUAUAUUUUACAACCAACCAGUUCGAAGGAAGCAAAUGCACUCCAACCCAAAGAAGGCCUUGCAUUCUCUGAAAGAGUCUCUGCUAAGAAUUGCCCUUGUGCAUCCCUGUCUCCUUCAAAAUUGUUGAUAUUGAAAGUUAGGAUGACUUGCUUUGUACAUGUUCUUCUCCUUCUCCGUUGCCGCUAUUAUCCACUAGUCCAGUGAGUUUGGGAUUCAUCUGAGUUCCCUUUAACAAAUUGAAUGCAUGUGAUGGUUCAUUCAAGCUCUCAGGAUAAGUUGCAGGUUUUGUUCAAUGCAUGCAGUUAGGAUGACUUGCUUUGUACACGUUCUUCUCCUUCUCCGUUGCCGUUAUUAUCCACUAGUCCAGUGAGUUUGGGAUUCAUCUGAGUUCCCUUUAACAAAUUGAAUGCAUGUGAUGGUUCAUUCAAGCUCUCAAGAUAAGUUG